GUCGGGAGUUAGGAAAUGCAGGGGUGUUAAUAGCAUCCCUGUUUGACGAAAGCUCCAGAGGAAGCCACGGCUAACUCUGUGCCAGCAGCCGCGGUAAUACAGAGGUGGCAAGCGUUGUUCGGAAUUAUUGGGCGUAAAGAGCACGUAGGCGGUCCUGCAAGUCAGUUGUGAAAGCCUUCCGCUUAACGGGAGAAUGGCAUCUGAUACUACAGGGCUAGAGUACGGGAGGGGAGAGUGGAACUUCUGGU
This 248-nucleotide ribosomal RNA is filed under the name uncultured Planctomycetales bacterium. RNAcentral describes it as "partial 16S ribosomal RNA". It matches the Rfam family "Bacterial small subunit ribosomal RNA", at positions 434 to 674 of the family's 1533-position model. The record is from RNAcentral. Lineage: Bacteria; Pseudomonadati; Planctomycetota; Planctomycetia; Planctomycetales.